UAACACAUGCAAGUCGAGGGGCAGCAUGGUCUUAUCUUGCUAAGGCCGAUGGCGACCGGCGCACGGGUGAGUAACACGUAUCCAACCUGCCGUCUACUCUUGGACAGCCUUCUGAAAGGAAGAUUAAUACAAGAUGGCAUCAUGAGUCCGCAUGUUCACAUGAUUAAAGGUAUUCCGGUAGACGAUGGGGAUGCGUUCCAUUAGAUAGUAGGCGGGGUAACGGCCCACCUAGUCUUCGAUGGAUAGGGGUUCUGAGAGGAAGGUCCCCCACAUUGGAACUGAGACACGGUCCAAACUCCUACGGGAGGCAGCAGUGAGGAAUAUUGGUCAAUGGGCGAGAGCCUGAACCAGCCAAGUAGCGUGAAGGAUGACUGCCCUAUGGGUUGUAAACUUCUUUUAUAAAGGAAUAAAGUCGGGUAUGGAUACCCGUUUGCAUGUACUUUAUGAAUAAGGAUCGGCUAACUCCGUGCCAGCAGCCGCGGUAAUACGGAGGAUCCGAGCGUUAUCCGGAUUUAUUGGGUUUAAAGGGAGCGUAGAUGGAUGUUUAAGUCAGUUGUGAAAGUUUGCGGCUCAACCGUAAAAUUGCAGUUGAUACUGGAUAUCUUGAGUGCAGUUGAGGCAGGCGGAAUUCGUGGUGUAGCGGUGAAAUGCUUAGAUAUCACGAAGAACUCCGAUUGCGAAGGCAGCCUGCUAAGCUGCAACUGACAUUGAGGCUCGAAAGUGUGGGUAUCAAACAGGAUUAGAUACCCUGGUAGUCCACACGGUAAACGAUGAAUACUCGCUGUUUGCGAUAUACUGCAAGCGGCCAAGCGAAAGCGUUAAGUAUUCCACCUGGGGAGUACGCCGGCAACGGUGAAACUCAAAGGAAUUGACGGGGGCCCGCACAAGCGGAGGAACAUGUGGUUUAAUUCGAUGAUACGCGAGGAACCUUACCCGGGCUUAAAUUGCAGAUGAAUUACGGUGAAAGCCGUAAGCCGCAAGGCAUCUGUGAAGGUGCUGCAUGGUUGUCGUCAGCUCGUGCCGUGAGGUGUCGGCUUAAGUGCCAUAACGAGCGCAACCCUUGUUGUCAGUUACUAACAGGUUCCGCUGAGGACUCUGACAAGACUGCCAUCGUAAGAUGUGAGGAAGGUGGGGAUGACGUCAAAUCAGCACGGCCCUUACGUCCGGGGCUACACACGUGUUACAAUGGGGGGUACAGAGGGCCGCUACCACGCGAGUGGAUGCCAAUCCCCAAAACCUCUCUCAGUUCGGACUGGAGUCUGCAACCCGACUCCACGAAGCUGGAUUCGCUAGUAAUCGCGCAUCAGCCACGGCGCGGUGAAUACGUUCCCGGGCCUUGUACACACCGCCCGUCAAGCCAUGGGAGCCGGGGGUACCUGAAGUGCGUAAGCGCGAGGAGCGCCCUAGGGUAAAACUGGUGACUG
Molecule: ribosomal RNA, 1424 nt
Filed under: uncultured organism
Description: 16S ribosomal RNA
Rfam family: Bacterial small subunit ribosomal RNA
Source: RNAcentral